Molecule: ribosomal RNA, 469 nt
Filed under: uncultured bacterium
Lineage: Bacteria
Description: partial 16S ribosomal RNA
Rfam family: Bacterial small subunit ribosomal RNA
Source: RNAcentral
GGACGAACGCUGGCGGCGUGCUUAACACAUGCAAGUCGAACGGAUAGGCCCUGCUUUUGUGGGGUGCUCGAGUGGCGAACGGGUGAGUAACACGUGAGUAACCUGCCCUUGACUUUGGGAUAACUUCAGGAAACUGGGGCUAAUACCGGAUAGGAGCUCCUGCUGCAUGGUGGGGGUUGGAAAGUUUCGGCGGUUGGGGAUGGACUCGCGGCUUAUCAGCUUGUUGGUGGGGUAGUGGCUUACCAAGGCUUUGACGGGUAGCCGGCCUGAGAGGGUGACCGGCCACAUUGGGACUGAGAUACGGCCCAGACUCCUACGGGAGGCAGCAGUGGGGAAUAUUGCACAAUGGGCGGAAGCCUGAUGCAGCAACGCCGCGUGCGGGAUGACGGCCUUCGGGUUGUAAACCGCUUUCGCCUGUGACGAAGCGUGAGUGACGGUAAUGGGUAAAGAAGCACCGGCUAACUACGUG